This 409-nucleotide RNase P RNA is filed under the name Shimia litoralis. RNAcentral describes it as "Pelagicola litoralis Bacterial RNase P class A". It matches the Rfam family "Bacterial RNase P class A". Rfam says of the family: Ribonuclease P (RNase P) is a ubiquitous endoribonuclease, found in archaea, bacteria and eukarya as well as chloroplasts and mitochondria. Lineage: Bacteria; Pseudomonadati; Pseudomonadota; Alphaproteobacteria; Rhodobacterales; Roseobacteraceae. The record is from Rfam by way of RNAcentral.
GCAGAGGGCUGGAUGGCCGCGGGGCCUUAGGGUCGCGAGGAAAGUCCGGACUCCACAAGGCAAUGGUGCCGGGUAACGCCCGGCUGGGGCAACCCAAGGGAAAGCGCCACAGAGAACAGACCGCUUUGGUGUGUCGCUUGCGGCAGACCAGAGUAAGGGUGAAACGGUGGAGUAAGAGACCACCGCGGGACUGGUAACAGGACCGGCAAGGCAAGCCCCACCAGGAGCAAUGCCGAAUAGGAACCUCGCGCGGGAUUGAUCGGUUCGCCGAUAUCGCCGCAGGGACGCUUUGGCCCAGAGGUUCGGGUUGGCAGCUAGAGAGAAUCUGGUAACAGAUUCUCAAGAUGAAUGGUCAUCCAGAGGAGGGUUCCUCCUUGGACAAAAUCCGGCUUAUAGGCCCUCUGCGCAA